UACAGAGGUCUCAAGCGUUGUUCGGAUUCAUUGGGCGUAAAGGGCGCGUAGGUGGCGCCAUAAGUCAGGUGUGAAAUCUCGGGGCUCAACCCCGAAACUGCAUUUGAUACUGUGGUGCUCGAGUACUGGAGAGGAGAUUGGAAUUUACGGUGUAGCAGUGAAAUGCGUAGAUAUCGUAAGGAAGACCAGUGGCGACGGCGAAUCUCUGGACAGUUACUGACACUGAGGCACGAAGGCCAGGGGAGCAAACGGG
Molecule: ribosomal RNA, 253 nt
Filed under: uncultured bacterium
Lineage: Bacteria
Description: partial 16S ribosomal RNA
Rfam family: Bacterial small subunit ribosomal RNA
Source: RNAcentral